UACGUAGGGGGCGAGCGUUGUCCGGAUUUAUUGGGCGUAAAGAGCUCGUAGGCGGUUCGAUAAGUCGGAUGUGAAAUCUCCACGCUCAACGUGGAGGGGCCAUUCGAUACUGUCGUGACUCGAGUCCGGUAGGGGAGUGUGGAAUUCCCGGUGUAGCGGUGGAAUGCGUAGAGAUCGGGAAGAACACCAAUGGCGAAGGCAGUCCGCUGGGCCGUUGCUGACGCUGAGGCGCGACAGCGUGGGGAGCAAACAGG
Molecule: ribosomal RNA, 254 nt
Filed under: uncultured bacterium
Lineage: Bacteria
Description: partial 16S ribosomal RNA
Rfam family: Bacterial small subunit ribosomal RNA
Source: RNAcentral